GUAGUCAUAUGCUUGUCUCAAAGAUUAAGCCAUGCAUGUCUAAGUAUAAGCAACUUGUACUGUGAAACUGCGAAUGGCUCAUUAAAUCAGUUAUCGUUUAUUUGAUAGUACCUUACUACAUGGAUACCUGUGGUAAUUCUAGAGCUAAUACAUGCUAAAAACCCCGACUUCAGGAAGGGGUGUAUUUAUUAGAUAAAAAACCAACGCCCUUCGGGGCUCCUUGGUGAAUCAUAAUAACUAAGCGAAUCGCAUGGCCUUGCGCCGGCGAUGGUUCAUUCAAAUUUCUGCCCUAUCAACUUUCGAUGGUAGGAUAGUGGCCUACCAUGGUGGCAACGGGUAACGGGGAAU
RNAcentral lists this ribosomal RNA (348 nucleotides) under uncultured fungus. RNAcentral describes it as "SSU rRNA". It matches the Rfam family "Eukaryotic small subunit ribosomal RNA", at positions 20 to 370 of the family's 1831-position model. The record is from RNAcentral. Lineage: Eukaryota; Fungi.